RNAcentral lists this long non-coding RNA (648 nucleotides) under Hordeum vulgare. RNAcentral describes it as "long non-coding RNA (HVUL_LNC020017)". The record is from RNAcentral. Lineage: Eukaryota; Viridiplantae; Streptophyta; Magnoliopsida; Poales; Poaceae.
UGUUUUGGACCUUUUUCCUCCUUCACAUACCCUACUUUAUAAGUGACAUCCACUCCCUCGUUCUUCUUCCUCAGGUUUCUUUCUCUUCUUCCCACUGCGAUCACCAAGUGAUGGCAAUAGUUGGCAUGAUUGACGUGGGACCUGAUGAGAUAGGAUGACCAAGUUGCCCUCCCCUGACUUGGUCCACCCUCGACUACUCGGUUGGGGGAAGACCAAGUUGUUCUAUUUUGAACCCUUUUCCUCCUUCAGAGAUCCCACUUUAUAUGUGACAUCCAAGCCCUCCUGCUUUUUCCUGUGGUUUCUUUCUCUUCUUCCCACUGCCACCACCAAGUGAUGGCGAUAGUUGGGGUGAUUGAGGUGAGACCUGAUGAGAUAGGAUGAAACUAAUAUCAAGGUGGACGAGGAAGGAAACUCGCAUGGUUGUACAUGUGUGGUGGAAGGUUUGGAAUGAAAUCCUCGCUUGCAAGAGCUCCAAAAAACUAGAUCUAUAUGUACUUCCUAGAUAAAAUGUCUUGUUUUGUAGUCUAGUGGGGGUCAAGGUUUAUCACUUUGCUUGUUGCACGUUUGCAAAAAUAUGAAGGAUUAUUUUCUACACUUUGUGUUUUGGAGCUACUUUCUAUAAGUAGUUAAGCGACAUAAGAUGAGCAG